AAACCAACCGGGAUUGCCUUAGUAACGGCGAGUGAAGCGGCAAAAAGCUCAAAUUUGAAAUCUGGUACCUUCGGUGCCCGAGUUGUAAUUUGGAGAGGGCAACUUUGGGGCCGUUCCUUGUCUAUGUUCCUUGGAACAGGACGUCAUAGAGGGUGAGAAUCCCGUGUGGCGAGGAGUGCGGUUCUUUGUAAAGUGCCUUCGAAGAGUCGAGUUGUUUGGGAAUGCAGCUCUAAGUGGGUGGUAAAUUCCAUCUAAAGCUAAAUAUUGGCGAGAGACCGAUAGCGAACAAGUACAGUGAUGGAAAGAUGAAAAGAACUUUGAAAAGAGAGCGAAAAAGUACGUGAAAUUGUUGAAAGGGAAGGGCAUUUGAUCAGACAUGGUGUUUUGUGCCCUCUGCUCCUUGUGGGUAGGGGAAUCUCGCAUUUCACUGGGCCAGCAUCAGUUUUGGUGGCAGGAUAAAUCCAUAGGAAUGUAGCUUGCCUCGGUAAGUAUUAUAGCCUGUGGGAAUACUGCC
Molecule: ribosomal RNA, 514 nt
Filed under: uncultured Saccharomyces
Lineage: Eukaryota; Fungi; Ascomycota; Saccharomycetes; Saccharomycetales; Saccharomycetaceae
Description: eukaryotic LSU rRNA
Rfam family: Eukaryotic large subunit ribosomal RNA
Source: RNAcentral